RNAcentral lists this transfer RNA (76 nucleotides) under Bipes canaliculatus. Its description in RNAcentral is "tRNA-Leu". It matches the Rfam family "tRNA". Rfam says of the family: Transfer RNA (tRNA) molecules are approximately 80 nucleotides in length. Their secondary structure includes four short double-helical elements and three loops (D, anti-codon, and T loops). Lineage: Eukaryota; Metazoa; Chordata; Lepidosauria; Squamata; Bipedidae. The record is from RNAcentral.
AUUAAGGUGGCAGAGUCGUAAUAUAAUGCAAAAGGCCUAAGCCCUUUUCACAGGGGUUCAACUCCCCUCCUUAACA